UACGUAGGGUGCGAGCGUUAAUCGGAAUUACUGGGCGUAAAGCGUGCGCAGGCGGUUUUAUAAGUCAGAUGUGAAAGCCCCGGGCUCAACCUGGGAAUGGCAUUUGGGACUGUAAGGCUGGAGUAUGGCAGAGGAGACUAGAAUUCCUGGUGUAGCAGUGAAAUGCGUAGAUAUCAGGAGGAAUACCGAUGGCGAAGGCAGGUCUCUGGGCCGAUACUGACGCUCAUGCACGAAAGCGUGGGGAGCAAACAGG
RNAcentral lists this ribosomal RNA (253 nucleotides) under uncultured bacterium. RNAcentral's name for it is "partial 16S ribosomal RNA". It matches the Rfam family "Bacterial small subunit ribosomal RNA", at positions 524 to 776 of the family's 1533-position model. The record is from RNAcentral.